CAGGACUUCAACACAGCUAAAAAUAGCAGCAGCAUUGGUAGAGCUCCAGAGGUCCACGAGGAGAUGACCUUCAACGGAGCAUCAGAACUUAUUUUUAAUCAGAUCUCCCAGCUUUCAUCCACUAAUGGAAGUCAUUUUCACAUACCUUUUACCCCAUUUCCCAGAAGGGCAUGUCAGCUCUGGUUUCUGCUCGAGCACAAGAAUGAUAUGGACCUCAUCAGAGCGAAGAGAGGGGGGAGGAGGAUGAACCGAGAAUAAUAAUAGAAAAGU
Long non-coding RNA from Astatotilapia calliptera (eastern happy), 270 nucleotides. Lineage: Eukaryota; Metazoa; Chordata; Actinopteri; Cichliformes; Cichlidae. The record is from Ensembl.